AUUGAACGCUGGCGGCAGGCCUAACACAUGCAAGUCGAGCGGCGCGGCGGCAGGGUGAGUAAUGCCUAGGAAUCUGCCUGGUAGUGGGGGAUAAAGUCCGGAAACGGGCGCUAAUACCGCAUCGUAUCAGAUGAGCCUAGGUCGGAUUAGCUAGUUGGGGGGGUAACGGCCUACCAAGGCGACGAUCCGUAACUGGUCUGAGAGGAUGAUCAGUCACACUGGAACGGAGACACGGUCCAGACUCCGACGGGAGGCAGGAGUGGGGAAUAUUGGACAAUGGGCGAAAGCCUGAUCCAGCCAUGCCGCGUGUGUGAAGAAGGUCUUCGGAUUGUAAAGCACGUUAAGUUGGGAGGCGUUACCAACAGAAUAAGCACCGGCUAACUUCGUGCCAGCAGCCGCGGUAAUAC
RNAcentral lists this ribosomal RNA (407 nucleotides) under uncultured bacterium. RNAcentral describes it as "partial 16S ribosomal RNA". It matches the Rfam family "Bacterial small subunit ribosomal RNA", at positions 30 to 526 of the family's 1533-position model. The record is from RNAcentral.